CAGUAAAUAGUUUAUUAAAAAUAUAAGUUUUGGGAAUUUAAGAAAGGAUAAUUUGUUCUUUUUACUGA
RNAcentral lists this transfer RNA (68 nucleotides) under Cosmoscarta bispecularis. RNAcentral describes it as "tRNA-Pro". The record is from RNAcentral. Lineage: Eukaryota; Metazoa; Arthropoda; Insecta; Hemiptera; Cercopidae.